Molecule: ribosomal RNA, 397 nt
Filed under: uncultured bacterium
Lineage: Bacteria
Description: partial 16S ribosomal RNA
Rfam family: Bacterial small subunit ribosomal RNA
Source: RNAcentral
AUACGUAGGGGGCGAGCGUUGUCCGGAAUUACUGGGCGUAAAGGGUGCGUAGGUGGCACUUUAAGUUGGAUGUGAAAUCCCCGUGCUUAACAUGGGAGCUGCAUCCAAUACUGGAGAGCUAGAGUGCAGGAGAGGUAAGCGGAAUUCCUAGUGUAGCGGUGAAAUGCGUAGAUAUUAGGAGGAACACCAGUGGCGAAGGCGGCUUACUGGACUGUAACUGACACUGAGGCACGAAAGCGUGGGGAGCAAACAGGAUUAGAUACCCUGGUAGUCCACGCUGUAAACGAUGAAUACUAGGUGUAUGGGGUAUCAACUCCCUCUGUGCCGCAGCAAACGCAAUAAGUAUUCCGCCUGGGGAGUACGGCCGCAAGGUUGAAACUCAAAUGAAUUGACGGGG